RNAcentral lists this long non-coding RNA (214 nucleotides) under Carica papaya (papaya). RNAcentral's name for it is "long non-coding RNA (CPAP_LNC004807)". The record is from RNAcentral. Lineage: Eukaryota; Viridiplantae; Streptophyta; Magnoliopsida; Brassicales; Caricaceae.
CCCCCACACCAGACCACAAAACCCUAGCCGCCCGCCGCUCGCCGGAGAAAACGAACCAGAGGCCGACCGCCGCCACCCGCCGCCGCACCGGGGAAAUUUCCGACCGCCGAUCGAGGUUGACCGAAGCCGAAUCACCAAAACACGAACCUCGCCGGAGAGCCGCCGUACCCGAGAGCGCCGCCGCCGGUACUGUUAGUGUGUUUCAGUUCCCCGG